Long non-coding RNA from Oreochromis aureus, 566 nucleotides. NCBI's taxonomy places the organism in Eukaryota, Metazoa, Chordata, Actinopteri, Cichliformes, Cichlidae. The record is from Ensembl.
UGAAAAACCACCCAGGCUUGGCUGAUAGUGAGGUGGCUAAAAUUUGUUUAAUCGCCCGAUCGCUCGGCAAGGGUCUGUGUCUUAGCUGGACUUAUUUUUCGUUUAUAUGGGCCGAUGAUGCUUGUCGAUGUGGAAAAAAUAACUGAGUUGUUUGGUGGUGGAGCUACAACAGAGGGCAGCUAUCCACCGGUGUGUGACAGAAAGGACAUGCCGCGAACGAGACAUACAAGGCGGUGAGGCUACCGCGGAUCGACUGGUGUUUGCUAACGCGGAGGUCAAUCGUGGAUGAGGAAAAGCGAAGGCAGGAGCGUGAGGUGAACUGAAUUUCAGGGAUUUUCUGAAGUGUUUACUAAGACACCCGUAAGCUUUUACAAGGUAAGUGUAUCUCUCUCCCUCUGCUUUGAAAUGUAGGUUUGAAAGAGAUUUUUUCGUGUGUUUCUGGGUUAGCUCUUUGUCUGGAUUUCGGCACUGUGCUAAAGCUAGCUAGCGGAUAUUGAGCAUAGCUAAGCCUCUUUGGCCCUCGUUUGAAAUUGACUUUGAAAGGAAUUUUCUAUGUUUUGACGCUG